Molecule: non-coding RNA, 73 nt
Organism: Potamilus streckersoni
Lineage: Eukaryota; Metazoa; Mollusca; Bivalvia; Unionida; Unionidae
Source: the annotation of a GenBank genome assembly
GCUCCGGUGGCUUAGUGGUUAGAGCGCCCGCCUCGGAUACGAGAGGUCGUGGGUUCGAACCCCGGUUGAGUCA